CUUAGGACCGUUAUAGUUACGGCCGCCGUUUACUGGGGCUUCAGUUCAGAGCUUCGCUUACGCUAACCCCUCUCCUUAACCUUCCAGCACCGGGCAGGUGUCAGCCCCUAUACUUCGCCUUACGGCUUCGCAGAGACCUGUGUUUUUGCUAAACAGUCGCUUGGGCCUAUUCACUGCGGCUUUCCGUUAAGAAAGCACCCCUUCUCCCGAAGUUACGGGGUCAUUUUGCCGAGUUCCUUAACCAGAGUUCUCUCGCACACCUUAGGAUUCUCUCCUCGCCUACCUGUGUCGGUU
Molecule: ribosomal RNA, 294 nt
Filed under: Bacillus mycoides
Lineage: Bacteria; Bacillati; Bacillota; Bacilli; Caryophanales; Bacillaceae
Also listed under: 1 other name
Description: partial 23S ribosomal RNA
Source: RNAcentral